This 255-nucleotide ribosomal RNA is filed under the name uncultured bacterium. RNAcentral describes it as "partial 16S ribosomal RNA". It matches the Rfam family "Bacterial small subunit ribosomal RNA", at positions 524 to 776 of the family's 1533-position model. The record is from RNAcentral.
UACGAAGGGGGCUAGCGUUGUUCGGAAUUACUGGGCGUAAAGCGCACGUAGGCGGAUAUUUAAGUCAGGGGUGAAAUCCCAGAGCUCAACUCUGGAACUGCCUUUGAUACUGGGUAUCUUGAGUAUGGAAGAGGUAAGUGGAAUUGCGAGUGUAGAGGUGAAAUUCGUAGAUAUUCGCAGGAACACCGGUGGCGAAGGCGGCCUGCUGGGCAGUUUUGCUGACACUGAGGCGCGACAGCGUGGGGAGCAAACAGG